GAUGAAGAACGUAGCGAAAUGCGAUAAGUAAUGUGAAUUGCAGAAUUCAGUGAAUCAUCGAAUCUUUGAACGCACAUUGCGCCCGCCAGUAUUCUGGCGGGCAUGCCUGUUCGAGCGUCAUUACAACCCUCAGGCCCCCGGGCCCGGCGUUGGGGAUCGGCAGAAGCCCCCUGUGGGCACACGCCGUCCCUCAAAUACAGUGGCGGUCCCGCCGCAGCUUCCAUUGCGUAGUAGCUAACACCUCGCAACUGGAGAGCGGCGCGGCCAUGCCGUAAAACACCCAACUUCUGAAUGUUGACCUCGAAUCAGGUAGGAAUACCCGCUGAACUUAAGCAUAUCAAUAAGCGGAGGA
This 352-nucleotide unclassified non-coding RNA is filed under the name soil metagenome. RNAcentral's name for it is "partial contains 5.8S ribosomal RNA, internal transcribed spacer 2, and large subunit ribosomal RNA". The stretch from base 1 to 120 matches the Rfam family "5.8S ribosomal RNA", at positions 35 to 154 of the family's 154-position model. The record is from RNAcentral.